Molecule: ribosomal RNA, 440 nt
Filed under: uncultured bacterium
Lineage: Bacteria
Description: partial 16S ribosomal RNA
Rfam family: Bacterial small subunit ribosomal RNA
Source: RNAcentral
CCUACGGGCGGCAGCAGUGGGGAAUAUUGCACAAUGGGGGAAACCCUGAUGCAGCGACGCCGCGUGAGUGAAGAAGUAUCUGGGUAUGUAACGCCCUAUCAGCAGGGAAGAAAAUGACGGUACCUGACUAAGAAGCCCCGUCUACCUACGUGCCAGCAGCCGCGGUAAGACGUAAGGGGCAAGCGUUAUCCGGAUUUACUGGGCGUAAAGGGGGCGUAGACGGCAGGGCAAGUCUGAGGUGAAGUGCCGGGGCGUAACCCCGGAACUGCUUUGGAAACUGGGCGGCUAGAGUGCAGGAGAGGUAGGUGGAAUUCGUGGUGUAGCGGUGAAAUGCGUAGAUAUUAGGAGGAACACCAGUGGCGAAGGCGGCAUGCUGGACUGUAACUGACGUUGAGGCACGAAAGCGUGGGGAGCAAACAGGAUUAGAUACCCCAGUAGUC